GACGAACGCUGGCGGCGUGCUUAACACAUGCAAGUCGAACGGAAAGGCCCUGCUUUUGUGGGGUGCUCGAGUGGCGAACGGGUGAGUAACACGUGAGUAACCUGCCCUUGACUUUGGGAUAACUUCAGGAAACUGGGGCUAAUACCGGAUAGGAGCUCCUGCUGCAUGGUGGGGGUUGGAAAGUUUCGGCGGUUGGGGAUGGACUCGCGGCUUAUCAGCUUGUUGGUGGGGUAGUGGCUUACCAAGGCUUUGACGGGUAGCCGGCCUGAGAGGGUGACCGGCCACAUUGGGACUGAGAUACGGCCCAGACGCCUACGGGAGGCAGCAGUGGGGAGUAUUGCACAAUGGGCGGACGCCUGAUGCAGCAACGCCGCGUGCGGGAUGACGGCCUUCGGGUUGUAAACCGCUUUCGCCUGUGACGAAGCGUGAGUGACGGUAAUGGGUAAAGAAGCACCGGCUAACUACGUG
This 468-nucleotide ribosomal RNA is filed under the name uncultured bacterium. RNAcentral's name for it is "partial 16S ribosomal RNA". It matches the Rfam family "Bacterial small subunit ribosomal RNA", at positions 28 to 507 of the family's 1533-position model. The record is from RNAcentral.